RNAcentral lists this long non-coding RNA (363 nucleotides) under Malus domestica (apple). Its description in RNAcentral is "long non-coding RNA (MDOM_LNC003726)". Lineage: Eukaryota; Viridiplantae; Streptophyta; Magnoliopsida; Rosales; Rosaceae. The record is from RNAcentral.
UUUUUUUUUUUAAGUUGCCAAUUAAUACACGUGCUAUGCUCUCACAAUUCUCCAUACCAAUACCCGAGCAGACUAAACAAGUAGCCUUCAUUCUCCGAGUUGAAUGUAUAAGGGCAAAUUAAUUGACGGUUGACCCAUGUAACCCUUCAGUAAGAAGGUUUGAGAAGAGAAGAAUCUGAAACCCUUAUCGAUAUAUAUGAUAAAAUUGCCGAAAGGCAAUGGUAACGCGGUUAAACACGUUAAGGUAACGAUAUAUAAGCAUUGUCGUAAAAGUUAAGGUAAGAGAACCAGAGAAUUUUGUCAAGCUAUCCCACGUGAAACCAGCUCAUAAACCAACCACACAUUUGUCAACUAGUAUCCCCA